GAUGAACGCUGGCGGCGUGCCUAAUACAUGCAAGUCGAGCGAACAGACGAGAGUGCUUGCACUCUCUGACGUUAGCGGCGGACGGGUGAGUAACACGUGGGUAACCUACCUAUAAGACUGGGAUAACUUCGGGAAACCGGAGCUAAUACCGGAUAAUAUUUAGCUUCGCAUGAAGCAAUAGUGAAAGACGGUUCUGCUGUCACUUAUAGAUGGACCCGCGGUGUAUUAGCUAGUUGGGGAGGUAACGGCUCACCAAGGCAACGAUACAUAGCCGACCUGAGAGGGUGAUCGGCCACACUGGGACUGGGACACGGCCCAGACUCCUACGGGAGGCAGCAGUAGGGAAUCUUCCGCAAUGGACGAAAGUCUGACGGAGCAAUGCCGCGUGAGUGAAGAAGGUUUUCGGAUCGUAAAACUCUGUUGUGGGGGAAGAACAAGUACGUUAGUAACUGAACGUACCUUGACGGUACCUUACCAGAAAGCCACGGCUAACUACGUG
This 499-nucleotide ribosomal RNA is filed under the name uncultured bacterium. RNAcentral's name for it is "partial 16S ribosomal RNA". It matches the Rfam family "Bacterial small subunit ribosomal RNA", at positions 28 to 507 of the family's 1533-position model. The record is from RNAcentral.